AUUAUUCUCUACAAUCUGGAAAUUUGCUCCUUAAUUGGUCUAUUACCUAUGACCCUAAACUUGUUUUCCAAGCACCUGGAUGCUGACAAAGUUGAAAAAUAUUCCACUCAAAUUUCCCUUAAAAUAAUUAAAAAGUACUGCUCCAAAAAUUCAAAGGCCAAGUUAAAAGCAUAAACAAAACUUCAGUUAAUAAACAGAAUAACAAACUAUUUUUUCAGCACAGGUUGAGUACAACAGGCAAUUGUCAUCUCCAAGACAACCAGAAUCAGAUCUAUGUCAUGCAUGCAUGUAUUCAUUACCACUUUCACCAUCAGAUGCAUCUGCAAGCCUUGCAAUUGCCUCGACAAGUGCCUGUUCAUGCUCUUUCAGCAUCCUUUUUGCCUUCUCAAGUUCAUGGGAAUCAGGAUGACUCAAAGCAAAAACCUUCUCCACCUCCUGAACUAACGUCUCUGUGUUGAAUAACUCAAUGUCAUCAGAAACUUUCUUUGUAAAACCAUUCUGUGUUGGCAGAAAUUCUCUCCUGGAUUCACCCUUUAUGGAUCCCCUCCCUCUUCCACCACUAGGAUAACUGACAUGUCUCAUGGAUUUCUUGAUUCCAUGGCCUGGCCCACCAUGGGCACCAAGAAGAGAAAUUCCUGGAUCCACACCUUCCCAUUGGAUAUCCUCUGGAGAUAUCUCUUUGAGAUUAACCCAUUCCCAUGUCUCGUUAACUGUAUUCAUAUCAUAGACUAGAGCAUGUCGGCCCUCAGCAGGGUUGUAAUCAGUUAUGACAGCCUCGUAAAAGCUGUUGUCCUCUGGCCAUCUUGUCCACACUUUCCUUCCAAUUAAUGGAUCAGAACUUGCUGGUUCAGCAUGUUCAUUUGCAGCAAGGGCUCCAGAAGAACUAUGGCUAACAUAAUGAUGAUUUCCAGCAGGACCUGUAGAAGGGUUCUGCAUAUACUUCAUAAAGGACAAACCAGGCAUUGGUUGACCCUGCUAAAGAAAGUGGAAGAAAGAGUAAACCCAAAUGGAGGUCAAGCUAAAACUUAAUUUUAUACUUCUAUUAAAAAUAAUCAACAUGCUGUACUAGGCUUUCAGUUGCUCUUCAAUUCUCAGCUCCAUGUAAUAGUUGCAUGGACAGAGCUGCAUUUGGGAUGUCUUCUGUUUUUUAUGGGAGCCUGAAACACUGGGACUGUGUACAACAUCAUGAACUGGUUGUGAUGCACUGCUCCUAGCAGUUUGGUGGCCACCUGCCUGUCUCCACUGCCUGAUCCUUCUGAUGAUCUCAUCCCCAUUAACUUUGGUUAGAAGCUCUCUGUGUUGAUCAUCUGAUACUCUGAGCUCUUUCCUAAGUUCUGUUAUUAAACCCUCCUUCUCCCAAGAAAUGGCAUCAGACUGAGCCUUAAAAGCACGCAAUACAGCACUGUAAGCUUCUUGCUCAAGGUGACGAAUUUGAGCCUCCAUGUCAGUAUGCAUUCUAGAAUAUGCAGCAGAACCAACAACAGAUCUUCCGUUUCCUACAACUCUUUCUCCCUUUGGAAUUGUAUUUUGAUGUGGAGGUAAAUCAUCAUCAGUACCUGCAGUGUGCGGACAUCAUGGCAAGUAGCAAUGUAAACAAAAGACAUAUCUCUGCCCUAUCAUGAAUCUGUAACUAUUACCUUCUUUUUUCAUAAAGAAAAUUUUCCUUUACUGAAAAAGAAAUAAAUGAAUAUAUAAAGGAUUUUAUAUAACAAUUACACCAAUAGUACACUUCCAAAAUUGAAUUUUUUGACUUUCAAAUCUGUAAUCAAACUGAUACAGUUGAAUCUAACCUUUCACUUGUUUUGACAACAACAGUUCAAGUUUUCUAACUUCCAAGUCAAUUUGCCCUCAUGCUUACUUUCUCUUCCUACGCAAAACUAGAUUCUUCCAAAUUCUAUGCACAUUAAUUUACUCUGCAACAAUUUGUUUCUCAUUUGUUCUUAUUUCCAUGUUCCCACCCAACUUUUACCAUUAACAACAAAUCCUGGCAACAUAACGAGCUUGCAAAGCUUGAAAGAAGACAAUCCAUUUGGAUAGAGAAGUCAAAACAAUGUACACCUAAAAGGGACUUCAAUUCCUCUUACUCUUUAUUCCUCUUACUCUUUUUCUUGGUCCAACAUUAACAUGUUUAAAACCAAUUGGAUAAAAAAAUUGAAAAAGUGCAGCAGCUUCAUGCCAUAUAAGAUAACAAGAACAACUGAAUUAACACCUUAAAAAAAUAAUAACAAAUUAACACUCAAAUUUUCUAAAACAAGAUAAUUAAGAACUUCAAUCCAAAGCUAACCUUUUUCUUUUCCUCUUUCAUAAACUAGUGUCUAUGUGCAUAAAAAAACAUGAUAGGGAUUCAAAACAUUUCAAAUUGCAGCACUAAGUAGCAUAAUCAAAACAUUAACCAAGUAUAAAAAGUAGCUAGUGAAACAAACCUUGAAGGAAAGAAAAAAGAAGUUAUACGCUAAUUGCAUUUCACAAAUCAAUCUCACUCAAUAUCCAAACUUAAAACUCCAAAUGACAGUUUUAUAUUUGCCCAUUCAAAAACCAGAACCCUAUUAUCUUCCAAGAAAAUUCAUUGAAAACAGAAACUCCCAGUCCAAUCACCAACUCCCCAAAAACGACAAUGCCCAAUUAAAUCCAAUCCAACAAUACCCUAAGCCUCAAGGCCAAUUCCCACUAUCACAACAAUUCAAUAAAACAGAUAUCUUUUAUGGCGUCCACAAUGUAAAAAUGAACAAAGAGAUGAAAGAGGGAAAAAAUACAAGAAAACAAUAAAAUAUACCACUACUAUCUGAAAGUUCAUAGCCCAUAACAAGGACCACCAGAAGGCUGCACUGUUUCUAAAGCAUUGCAAUUGGCAAUAAUGGAGCUACAGAGAUACAGCGGAGAUAUGGAGAUAGGGAAAGAGAGAAGA
This 2905-nucleotide unclassified non-coding RNA is filed under the name Hevea brasiliensis (rubber tree). The record is from RNAcentral. Lineage: Eukaryota; Viridiplantae; Streptophyta; Magnoliopsida; Malpighiales; Euphorbiaceae.